AGUGAACGCUGGCGGUAUGCCUAACACAUGCAAGUCGAACGGCAGCACAGUAAGAGCUUGCUCCUACGGGUGGCGAGUGGCGGACGGGUGAGGAAUACAUCGGAACCUACUUUUUCGUGGGGGAUAACGUAGGGAAACUUACGCUAAUACCGCAUACGACCUACGGGUGAAAGCAGUGGAUCUUCGGACCUUUCGCGAUUGAAUGAGCCGAUGUCGGAUUAGCUAGUUGGCAGGGUAAAGGCCCACCAAGGCGACGAUCCGUAGCUGGUCUGAGAGGAUGAUCAGCCACACUGGAACUGAGACACGGUCCAGACUCCUACGGGAGGAAGCAGUGGGGAAUAUUGGACAAUGGGCGCAAGCCUGAUCCAGCCAUACCGCGUGGGUGAAGAAGGCCUUCGGGUUGUAAAGCCCUUUUGUUGGGAAAGAAAAGCAGCAGGUUAAUACCCCGCUGUUCUGACGGUACCCAAAGAAUAAGCACCGGCUAACUUCGUG
Molecule: ribosomal RNA, 492 nt
Filed under: uncultured bacterium
Lineage: Bacteria
Description: partial 16S ribosomal RNA
Rfam family: Bacterial small subunit ribosomal RNA
Source: RNAcentral